GAGUGAACACAGCCCUUUCAGAAUUUUUCUAGCAGCUAUUCUGACUUUGGUUGGAAAAUCCAA
This is a small nuclear RNA of Rattus norvegicus (Norway rat), 63 nucleotides long. Ensembl annotates it as U7 small nuclear RNA. The record is from Ensembl. Lineage: Eukaryota; Metazoa; Chordata; Mammalia; Rodentia; Muridae.